This 233-nucleotide ribosomal RNA is filed under the name uncultured bacterium. Its description in RNAcentral is "partial 16S ribosomal RNA". It matches the Rfam family "Bacterial small subunit ribosomal RNA", at positions 794 to 1025 of the family's 1533-position model. The record is from RNAcentral.
UCCACGCCGUAAACGAUGUCAACUAGUUGUUGGUCCUAUUAAAAGGAUUAGUAACGAAGCUAACGCGAUAAGUUGACCGCCUGGGGAGUACGGUCGCAAGAUUAAAACUCAAAGGAAUUGACGGGGGCCCGCACAAGCGGUGGAGCAUGUGGUUUAAUUCGAUGCAACGCGAAGAACCUUACCAUCCCUUGACAUACAGAGAAGUUACCAGAGAUGGUUUCGUGCCUUCGGGA